UGAGGAAUAUUGCGCAAUGGGGGUAACCCUGACGCAGCAACACCGCGUGAGUGAUGAAGCAGUUUAUCUGUGUAAAGCUCUGUUAAUCGGGACGAACGGGAUGGUUAGCAGCCAUUUUUGACGGUACCGGUAGAGGAAGCACCGGCUAACUCCGUGCCAGCAGCCGCGGUAAUACGGGGGGUGCAAGCGUUGUCCGGAUUUAUUGGGCGUAAAGGGCAUGUAGGUUGGGAUUUAAGUCAGUUGUGAAAUUUUACGGCUUAACCGUAAAUUGCAAUUGAAACUGGAUCUCUUGAGUAUGAGAGGGGAUGGUGGAAUAUCAAGUGUAGCGGUGGAAUGCGUAGAUAUUUGAUAGAACACCUGAGGCGUAGGCGACCAUCUGGCUCAUUACUGACACUGAAAUGCGAAAGCAUGGGGAGCGAACAGG
This 424-nucleotide ribosomal RNA is filed under the name uncultured bacterium. RNAcentral's name for it is "bacterial SSU rRNA". It matches the Rfam family "Bacterial small subunit ribosomal RNA", at positions 355 to 776 of the family's 1533-position model. The record is from RNAcentral.